This 312-nucleotide unclassified non-coding RNA is filed under the name plant metagenome. RNAcentral's name for it is "partial contains 5.8S ribosomal RNA, internal transcribed spacer 2, and large subunit ribosomal RNA". The stretch from base 1 to 105 matches the Rfam family "5.8S ribosomal RNA", at positions 49 to 154 of the family's 154-position model. The record is from RNAcentral.
CGAAAUGCGAUAAGUAAUGCGAAUUGCAGAAUCCGUGAGUCAUCGAAUUUUUGAACGCAUAUUGCGCCCUUUGGUAUUCCGAAGGGCAUGCCUGUUCGAGCGUCAUUAUCACCUCUCAAGCCUGGCUUGCUGUUGGAUCUAGGUCUUAGCUCUCUUAACUAUAACCGGUCCUAAAGAUAAUGACGGCGUCUGUGAGGAUCCCAGUACAUUGAGCUUUCUAAGCACGUACGAGGCGAGAAUCUAGACCCGGUCUUAACUAUUAUUUAUCAAGGUUGACCUCGGAUCAGUUAGAGAUACCCGCUGAACUUGAGC